This is a non-coding RNA of Phrynosoma platyrhinos (Desert horned lizard), 72 nucleotides long. Lineage: Eukaryota; Metazoa; Chordata; Lepidosauria; Squamata; Phrynosomatidae. The record is from the annotation of a GenBank genome assembly.
GCCAGCGUGGUGCACUGGUUUGAGUCAUGGACUUCAGCUCUGGCGAGCAGGGUUCGAAUCCCAGCUCUGUCA